Molecule: ribosomal RNA, 253 nt
Filed under: uncultured bacterium
Lineage: Bacteria
Description: partial 16S ribosomal RNA
Rfam family: Bacterial small subunit ribosomal RNA
Source: RNAcentral
UACGAAGGUGGCAAGCGUUGUUCGGAUUUACUGGGCGUACAGGGAGCGUAGGCGGUUGGAUAAGCCCUCCGUGGAAUCUCCAGGCUUAACCUGGAAAGUGCAGAGGGGACUGUUCAGCUAGAGGAUGGGAGAGGAGCGCGGAAUUCCCGGUGUAGCGGUGAAAUGCGUAGAGAUCGGGAGGAAGGCCGGUGGCGAAGGCGGCGCUCUGGAACAUUUCUGACGCUGAGGCUCGAAAGCGUGGGGAGCAAACAGG